RNAcentral lists this ribosomal RNA (177 nucleotides) under Ranunculus raeae. Its description in RNAcentral is "5.8S ribosomal RNA". The stretch from base 17 to 172 matches the Rfam family "5.8S ribosomal RNA". Rfam says of the family: 5.8S ribosomal RNA (5.8S rRNA) is a component of the large subunit of the eukaryotic ribosome. Lineage: Eukaryota; Viridiplantae; Streptophyta; Magnoliopsida; Ranunculales; Ranunculaceae. The record is from RNAcentral.
CCAUUAUUACUMAAAUGACUYUCGGCAACGGAUAUYUCGGCUCUUGCAUCGAUGAAGAACGUAGCGAAAUGCGAUACUUGGUGUGAAUUGCAGAAUCCCGUGAACCAUCGAGUUUUUGAACGCAAGUUGCGCCCGAGACCUUUAGGUUGAGGGCACGUCUGCCUGGGCGUCACACAC